ACUACAGCCACUACUACAAGACCAUCCAGGACUUGCGGGACAAGAUUCUUGGUGCCACCAUUGAGAACUCCAGGAUUGUCCUGCAGACCGACAGCGUCCAUCUAGCUGCAGAUG
RNAcentral lists this microRNA precursor (114 nucleotides) under Saimiri boliviensis boliviensis (Bolivian squirrel monkey). Its description in RNAcentral is "miRNA (ENSSBOG00000018723.1)". The stretch from base 21 to 95 matches the Rfam family "mir-492 microRNA precursor family". Lineage: Eukaryota; Metazoa; Chordata; Mammalia; Primates; Cebidae. The record is from RNAcentral.